RNAcentral lists this ribosomal RNA (396 nucleotides) under beta proteobacterium Jbg43. Its description in RNAcentral is "bacterial SSU rRNA". It matches the Rfam family "Bacterial small subunit ribosomal RNA", at positions 513 to 909 of the family's 1533-position model. The record is from RNAcentral. Lineage: Bacteria; Pseudomonadati; Pseudomonadota; Betaproteobacteria.
AGCCGCGGUAAUACGUAGGGUGCGAGCGUUAAUCGGAAUUACUGGGCGUAAAGCGUGCGCAGGCGGUUAUGUAAGACAGAUGUGAAAUCCCCGGGCUCAACCUGGGAACUGCAUUUGUGACUGCAUGGCUAGAGUACGGUAGAGGGGGAUGGAAUUCCGCGUGUAGCAGUGAAAUGCGUAGAUAUGCGGAGGAACACCGAUGGCGAAGGCAAUCCCCUGGACCUGUACUGACGCUCAUGCACGAAAGCGUGGGGAGCAAACAGGAUUAGAUACCCUGGUAGUCCACGCCCUAAACGAUGUCAACUGGUUGUUGGGAAUUAGUUUUCUCAGUAACGAAGCUAACGCGUGAAGUUGACCGCCUGGGGAGUACGGCCGCAAGGUUGAAACUCAAAGGAA